CUCAGUUAGGCAGAGCGUCUGGUUGUGGUCCAGAAAGGUCGCGGGUUCAAUCCCCGUUACUCACC
RNAcentral lists this transfer RNA (65 nucleotides) under Cecembia lonarensis LW9. It matches the Rfam family "tRNA", at positions 11 to 71 of the family's 71-position model. Rfam says of the family: Transfer RNA (tRNA) molecules are approximately 80 nucleotides in length. Lineage: Bacteria; Pseudomonadati; Bacteroidota; Cytophagia; Cytophagales; Cyclobacteriaceae. The record is from Rfam by way of RNAcentral.